UCAUGUGCAUGCCUACAAUGUUAAUGCACCAGAUACCAUAAGAACUCCACAGUUAAUCACACUUGGGCUAGAGUAGUAUUGGGAUGGGUGACCUCUUGGGAAGCCCAAGUGUUUUACAUGCC
Molecule: non-coding RNA, 122 nt
Organism: Picea glauca (white spruce)
Lineage: Eukaryota; Viridiplantae; Streptophyta; Pinopsida; Pinales; Pinaceae
Source: Rfam